RNAcentral lists this small nucleolar RNA (128 nucleotides) under Echinops telfairi (small Madagascar hedgehog). RNAcentral's name for it is "Small nucleolar RNA SNORA61 (ENSETEG00000026288.1)". The record is from RNAcentral. Lineage: Eukaryota; Metazoa; Chordata; Mammalia; Afrosoricida; Tenrecidae.
GCCCUCUGGAACCCUUACUCGUCAGAAUCGAGCCUUGAACACUGGUCUUAGCGGUAAUAAAAGGAAGGAAAGUAAAGUGGAAGCUGACUUAAAAGUCGUUGUGACACACAAGCUAGUUUUAAACAAAC